AAAGAAUUCAACAUUUUGAAGCUCUGAAUAAACAGCAGCACUAUAAAGCAGAAUCUGCUCUGAAAGAAAAGAUAAAGGAAAAUGAAGAUCUCAAACAAAGGAUCCAAGAGAUGGUUACCCAACAGAAGCAACACCAUU
Long non-coding RNA from Cyprinodon tularosa, 138 nucleotides. RefSeq lists it as uncharacterized. The record is from RefSeq and is a predicted model, not a curated record. NCBI's taxonomy places the organism in Eukaryota, Metazoa, Chordata, Actinopteri, Cyprinodontiformes, Cyprinodontidae. The transcript has 3 exons.